RNAcentral lists this non-coding RNA (611 nucleotides) under Oryza sativa Indica Group (long-grained rice). RNAcentral also lists the same sequence under 1 other name. Lineage: Eukaryota; Viridiplantae; Streptophyta; Magnoliopsida; Poales; Poaceae. The record is from RNAcentral.
CAGGAAUUAAAGAGAGACCGCAACUACAAGAUAGAUGCCCAUAUUUUAGAGAAGAAAAAGGAGAAAGCUUUCAGGCAUCUGUGUGUCAAAAAGUUCAUGAUUACACCAAUCUGCAUGCCAUACUACACGAAAACCAACACAAGGAGCGAGAAAUUCGCCGGGAUAAUCAUACCCUAAAGAUUCCUGCGCACGCCCAAACCAAGAAAUCGCCCAAGAAAAGAAUCGUUUGAUGUCCAAUCAGAGACUCACCAAAAUCUCGGGUAUGCAUGCGGUCCAAGAACCGCGGAGAUCGAUCGAUCGAUCGACGAGACAUACAUAAAUAUGGGAGCUUUACUUGAGGGGAAUGAAGCCUGGUCCGAGAUCAGUCUCUACAGAUCAAACCUGAUCGAUCAGAGGUUUCUCCAUGCACCUCGAGCCAGACAACAUUCCCCUCAAAGUGAAAAAGCUUCCUCUCUCUUUCUCUUGUUUCUUUCUCCCUUUUUGCAGUGAUUCUUUCUCUCAUCCUUCUCCUGUUCCUCUCCCUUGUUUCAAGGGGGGAGAGAACUCCAGGGAUGGGGAGGACGAUGACGGUCUGUUUGGUAUCUUAAAGAGGUAGAGAGAUAGAGAGAGAG